GAGGUGCAGAUCCACUGCUUUCAUUCUUUCCUCCCCAGGUUCAUUUGGUGAUCAAAUCAUCAAACUUGAAGAGAACCCAUCAAGGAAUAAUCUACUGUAGAGUUUGCUAAAGUGAAGCCCUGGGAUUCUUCUCAUCUUCAGGAGAGCGCCAGCCUGCCCAGGGGAAGCCUUGACACACGUCCAGCUGCUGAUUGGUACAUGCCUCACAGUCCGAGUGUCGAUUCUUCCUCUGAGAAAUUGGAAAGGCUACCGCAGGCUGCUGGGGAGCUUUAAUGGAGAGGAGUAUCAAAGUAAAUGGAAGUGCUCAAUGAAAUUUUCCUAGUUUCUGAGAAUUAUCAUUAACAACUUUAUCUAAGAAUAUGGAAGUAUGGAGAACUCUACUCACAUUUCAGGUUCAGAGAACUUCCAGCUCUUUCCUCCAAGCUGAAGGGCACCAAGGAUGAAAAGAACAUGUAAAUGUACCCAUUACAGAAGAGGUACAAGUCCUGGGAAGAUACAAUAUACUGAAAGAGAAGAGAAAUUACUCCUUAUUCCUCUCAAAUCUCUUUCCAGAAAUUCUUUUUUUUUUUUUUUUUUUUUUUUUUGAGAGGAUAUAGGUUCUGGACUGCUUUUCCUCUACUAGACAGCACUGUAGAGAAUUCUAUAAAUGCUAAGCCAGGCAUAUUCCCCCAUCAUUACUUUCUCACCUUGCUUAAGGCAUGUUGCAGAUGUUCUCAGAUUUCCCAAGCCUUCCUUAGUGUAGUAGCUCCAUAUGCACUACUCAGAUUAAGUACCAAGCCUGAGGAUGAAAAAGGCCAAGAAGCUUCUUGUGCUUCUGACCUCCUACCCAUCUCUCCCAGCCUUUUUAACUAUUUUUAGAUACCUGAAAAUAACUGGUCUAACUGGCCCCUGCUCUCCCUCUCUGGUACUUCCUCUCAAAAACAAAAUGCCCUCUUCCUCUUUAAUGUAUACAAACCCCUUUUGUAUAUAACAUGACUGCCAUUAUGGUAGGCAGAAUUCUAAGGAUGCAUCCUCCCCCCCCCCACCAGAUUACUGUCCCCUGAUUAUUCAAACAGUAAUUUAGAUGCUGCUGUAAAGGGAACCUGCCGGUAGCAUUAAGGUUGUUCAGCAGCUGACUGCAAAAGAGGAAGAUUGUUCUGGAUUAUCCAGGUGGGCCCAAUAUGAUCUCAUGAACCCUGAAAAGCAGAAGAAGAAGGAACAUGAGUAAGUCAAACAGAUGUGGAAGCAUGGAUAGGAGACAAAGUUUGAAGCUUGAGACCAACUAGACUCACUAUUGCUGGAAGGAGGCCGCUUGGAAAGCACAAGGAGUGAUGGGGCCUAUCUAGGAGCAAAGAUUUCUUGUUGACAGCCAGCAAAGAAAUGGGAGUUUCAGCUCUACAUCUACUUGGAACUGAGUUUUGCCUGAAUAAGUCUGGAAUUGGAUUCGAUCCAGAGUCUCCAGUAAACCUUGCCAACAUCUUGAUUUUAGUUCUGGGAGAUCCAUGACAAGUCUGACCCACAGACAC
Molecule: long non-coding RNA, 1505 nt
Organism: Hyaena hyaena (striped hyena)
Lineage: Eukaryota; Metazoa; Chordata; Mammalia; Carnivora; Hyaenidae
Exons: 3
Source: RefSeq, a predicted model, not a curated record